Molecule: ribosomal RNA, 301 nt
Filed under: uncultured bacterium
Lineage: Bacteria
Description: partial 16S ribosomal RNA
Rfam family: Bacterial small subunit ribosomal RNA
Source: RNAcentral
CAGUCGCCGCGGGAAUACAGAGGGUGCGAGCGUUAAUCGGAUUUACUGGGCGUAAAGCGUGCGUAGGCGGCUUCUUAAGUCGGAUGUGAAAUCCCUGAGCUUAACUUAGGAAUUGCAUUCGAUACUGGGAAGCUAGAGUAUGGGAGAGGAUGGUAGAAUUCCAGGUGUAGCGGUGAAAUGCGUAGAGAUCUGGAGGAAUACCAAUGGCGAAGGCAGCCAUCUGGCCUAAUACUGACGCUGAGGUACGAAAGCAUGGGGAGCAAACAGGAUUAGAUACCCCAGUAGUCCCUGUCUCUUAUAC